Molecule: non-coding RNA, 20 nt
Filed under: Arabidopsis thaliana (thale cress)
Lineage: Eukaryota; Viridiplantae; Streptophyta; Magnoliopsida; Brassicales; Brassicaceae
Source: RNAcentral
UACGCGUGGGUCCAUUUGUA